This is a long non-coding RNA of Homo sapiens (human), 2016 nucleotides long. Lineage: Eukaryota; Metazoa; Chordata; Mammalia; Primates; Hominidae. The record is from Ensembl.
GAGGUCCGCUCGUCAACGGCUAGUCAACGGCUGCGGGGACAAGUCCGUUGAGGCUGCCAGGCGAGUCAGGCCUUUCUGGACCUCGCCUGACUCGGAUGGGCUGUGCCUGAAAUUGACCCAGCUCCACUAGGGAUUAUGAAGAAACAAGGAGUAAACCCAAAGCCGCUGCAAUCUUCCCGCCCCAGCCCGUCUAAGCGGCCGUACGGGGCCUCCCCCGCCCGGGAGCUGGAGGUGGAAAAGUCGGCCCUAGGCGGCGGGAAACUGCCAGGGGGCGCCAGGAGGUCCUCCCCGGGGAGGAUCCCAAAUCUGAAAAAGCGAAAAGGCUUGGAGCUAAAGGUGGUGGCCAAGACCCUUCUCGACCCCUUCCAGUUCGUCCGUAAUUCCCUGGCGCAGCUCCGGGAAGAGGUGCACGAACUGCAGGCGCGGUGGUUCCCCAGCAGAACCACUCUCAGCAUCGGGACUUUAUUAUUCCUACUUCAAGACCAUCAUUGAAGCACCUUCAUUUUUGGAAGGACUGUGGAUGAUUAUGAAUGACAGGCUUACUGAAUAUCCUCUUGUAAUUAAUACAGUAAAACGCUUCCAUCUUUAUCCAGAGGUAAUCAUAGCUGCCUGGUAUCGCACAUUCAUAGGAAUAAUGAAUUUAUUUGGACUAGAAACUAAGACCUGCUGGAAUGUCACCAGAAUAGAACCUCUUAAUGAGUUCAAAGCUGUGAAGGAUUGGGAGAUCCUGCUUGCUUUUAUGUUGGUGUAAUCUUUAUUUUAAAUGGACUAAUGAUGGGAUUGUUCUUCAUGUAUGGAGCAUACCUGAGUGGGACUCAACUGGGAGGUCUUAUUACAGUACUGUGCUUCUUUUUCAACCAUGGAGAGGUUUGUUUUCUAGAAAGCAAUUUUUAAGAAAUAGAAGAGGCUGUAGAGGAACAAGGAAAUAUACUCAUCAAAACAAUAUUUAAUUGUAUACUACUUAUGACUUCACAAUAUUUUAAAGACCCUCGUGUUGCCACCCGUGUGAUGUGGACACCACCUCUCCAUGAAAGUUUUUCCUAUCCUUUCCUUGUACUUCAGAUGUAUAUUUUAACUUUGAUUCUCAGGACCUCAAGCAAUGAUAGAAGGCCCUUCAUUGCACUCUGUCUUUCCAAUGUUGCUUUUAUGCUUCCCUGGCAAUUUGCUCAGUUUAUACUUUUUACACAGAUAGCAUCAUUAUUUCCCAUGUAUGUUGUGGGAUACAUUGAACCAAGCAAAUUUCAGAAGAUCAUUUAUAUGAACAUGAUUUCAGUUACCCUUAGUUUCAUUUUGAUGUUUGGAAAUUCAAUGUACUUAUCUUCUUCUUAUUCUUCAUCUUUGUUAAUGACGUGGGCAAUAAUUCUAAAGAGAAAUGAAAUUCAAAAACUGGGAGUAUCUAAACUCAACUUUUGGCUAAUUCAAGGUAGUGCCUGGUGGUGUGGAACAAUCAUUUUGAAAUUUCUGACAUCUAAAAUCUUAGGCGUUUCAGACCACAUUCGCCUGAGUGAUCUUAUAGCAGCCAGAAUCUUAAGGUAUACAGAUUUUGAUACUUUAAUAUACACCUGUGCUCCCGAAUUUGACUUCAUGGAAAAAGCGACUCCACUGAGAUACACAAAGACAUUAUUGCUUCCAGUUGUUAUGGUGAUUACAUGUUUUAUCUUUAAAAAGACUGUUCGUGAUAUUUCGUGUGUUUUAGCUACAAACAUUUAUCUAAGUGUUCACAGCAUGUUCACCAGGAGUAGAUUCUAUCUCAAGAAACCACUGUCUUUGCUUAUCCAUAAGAAGCAACUCCUCAUCCAUUAAAGUUUUAUCAUGAGAUUGCAGCAAUUCAGUCACGUCUUCAGGCUCUACUUCUAAUUCAAGUUCUCUUGCUGUUUCCACCACAUCUGCAGUGACUUCCUCUGCUGAAGUCUUGGACCCCUCAGAGUCACCCAUGAGGGUUGGAAUCAUUUUUAAUAUUAUAUGAGAAGAAAACAUUCUAAGAAAAUGACAGAUAAAGUAGAAAAUAAGUUGGAA